CAGGGAGACAACAAAAUGUUAAAUAUUAAUUUUGUCACCUUAGGUCGAUCGGUAUCUCACUUUCUUAAUUUUUUUGAGGAAUUCAUUUCCUAAGUUUUUUCUAGGUCACACCCAUCACUUUUCCUGGGCCAUUAGCUCAGGUGGUUAGAGCGCACCCCUGAUAAGGGUGAGGUCCCUGGUUCAAGUCCAGGAUGGCCCAUAUCUCUAUUUUGGGGGUAUAGCUCAGUUGGUAGAGCGCCUGCUUUGCAAGCAGGAUGUCAGCGGUUCGAGUCCGCUUACCUCCACUGAUUACCACCUCUCCCAUAAUGUUUAGAUAAGGAAAUGUUUUGAGUUGUGAUCAAAUUCUGAACGAAUCUAGCUUCCUAAUGAAAUUAUUAAGAUGCUGGAUUCAUUGAAUUAAUUUCAUUGUUUUCAGAGAACCUUGACAACUGCAUAGAUUAUUUUUAAAGACAAUAAGCAUCUUUAAUGAUGCAGAUUUAUUAUUUAUGCGAAUGCAUUAAUAACAAUUCUAUUAAGCUGAUGCUUCAAUUUUUGAAGUCAUU
This 542-nucleotide transfer RNA is filed under the name uncultured cyanobacterium. RNAcentral's name for it is "partial 16S-23S ribosomal RNA intergenic spacer". The stretch from base 212 to 284 matches the Rfam family "tRNA". Lineage: Bacteria; Bacillati; Cyanobacteriota. The record is from RNAcentral.